GUGGGGAAUCUUGCGCAAUGGGCGAAAGCCUGACGCAGCCAUGCCGCGUGAAUGAUGAAGGUCUUAGGAUUGUAAAAUUCUUUCACCGGGGACGAUAAUGACGGUACCCGGAGAAGAAGCUCCGGCUAACUUCGUGCCAGCAGCCGCGGUAAUACGAAGGGGGCUAGCGUUGCUCGGAAUUACUGGGCGUAAAGGGCGCGUAGGCGGACAGCUUAGUCAGAGGUGAAAGCCCAGGGCUCAGCCUUGGAAUUGCCUUUGAUACUUGCUGUCUUGAGUUUGGGAGAGGUGAGUGGAACUCCGAGUGUAGAGGUGAAAUUCGUAGAUAUUCGGAAGAACACCAGUGGCGAAGGCGACUCACUGGCCCAAUACUGACGCUGAGGCGCGAAAGCGUGGGGAGCAAACAGGAUUAGAAACCCCGGUAGUCC
This 425-nucleotide ribosomal RNA is filed under the name uncultured bacterium. RNAcentral's name for it is "partial 16S ribosomal RNA". It matches the Rfam family "Bacterial small subunit ribosomal RNA", at positions 354 to 796 of the family's 1533-position model. The record is from RNAcentral.